This 465-nucleotide ribosomal RNA is filed under the name uncultured bacterium. RNAcentral describes it as "partial 16S ribosomal RNA". It matches the Rfam family "Bacterial small subunit ribosomal RNA", at positions 28 to 507 of the family's 1533-position model. The record is from RNAcentral.
GACGAACGCUGGCGGCGUGCUUAACACAUGCAAGUCGAACGGAAAGGCCCUGCUUGCAGGGUACUCGAGUGGCGAACGGGUGAGUAACACGUGGGUGAUCUGCCCUGCACUUCGGGAUAAGCCUGGGAAACUGGGUCUAAUACCGGAUAGGAGCCAUUUUUAUUGUUAUGGUUGGAAAGUUUUUUCGGUGUAGGAUGAGCUCGCGGCCUAUCAGCUUGUUGGUGGGGUAAUGGCCUACCAAGGCGGCGACGGGUAGCCGGCCUGAGAGGGUGGACGGCCACAAUGGGACUGAGAUACGGCCCAGACUCCUACGGGAGGCAGCAGUGGGGAAUAUUGCACAAUGGGCGCAAGCCUGAUGCAGCGACGCCGCGUGGGGGAUGACGGCCUUCGGGUUGUAAACUCCUUUCGCUAGGGACGAAGCUUUUUGUGACGGUACCUAGAGAAGAAGCACCGGCUAACUACGUG